Long non-coding RNA from Columba livia (rock pigeon), 568 nucleotides. RefSeq lists it as uncharacterized. NCBI's taxonomy places the organism in Eukaryota, Metazoa, Chordata, Aves, Columbiformes, Columbidae. The transcript has 3 exons. The record is from RefSeq and is a predicted model, not a curated record.
UUUCUCUUUCUCUUUCUCUUUCUCUUUCUCUUUCUCUUUCUCUUUCUCUUUCUCUUUCUCUUUCUCUUUCUCUUUCUCUCUCUUUCUCUCUUUCCCUUAUACACCUCAAAGUAGUUGCUACAAAUCUUGCUUGCAACAGGGCAGCAAAACCUUCCGAAGUGUCAGAGCCUUGGAAAGACAGGGUGGAAGAUGCUGCUGAAGACUUUGUUCUAGCUCUGAUCAUGGGUGGAAUAAUCAAGACCCUGCCUGGGGCACGCCUUCAUUCUUGGGGCAGCAGACAUCAAUUUUGUAUAUGCCGCAGAUUACACUGUCCCUUAGUCGCAUUGUCCUUACAGAGCCUAAUAUUGCUUGAGAUGGGAGAUCAUACAGUGAGUAGAUGCAUUCCUUUAGGAUAAUUAUUUAAAGUUGGCUUCUAGCAUUUUUUGUGCACAUAGCCUGGGGCCAAAGGACAUAGCCCCUCUUAGUGUUUGGGAGAUGCUAGAUAAAGAGAAGUUGAAAAAAACCCUGCUGUGUUGAUUGCUAUAAUUGCUGACACAUUCCUGUGGUAUACUUGAUCAUUAGAACAGCU